UACAGAGAGUGCGAGCGUUAUUCAUAGUCACUGGGCGUAAAGGGUGUGUAGGCGGUUGGAUAAGUGUGGUGUGAAAUCUCCCGGCUUAACUGGGAGGGUGCGCUACAAACUGUCUGACUAGAGUGUGGGAUGGGUAAGUGGAAUUCCCGGUGUAGAGGUGAAAUUCGUAGAUAUCGGGAGGAACACCGGUGGCGAAGGCGGCGAUCUGGGUCGAUACUGACGCUGAGGUGCGAAAGCGUGGGGAGCAAACAGG
This 253-nucleotide ribosomal RNA is filed under the name uncultured bacterium. Its description in RNAcentral is "partial 16S ribosomal RNA". It matches the Rfam family "Bacterial small subunit ribosomal RNA", at positions 524 to 776 of the family's 1533-position model. The record is from RNAcentral.